RNAcentral lists this ribosomal RNA (492 nucleotides) under uncultured bacterium. Its description in RNAcentral is "partial 16S ribosomal RNA". It matches the Rfam family "Bacterial small subunit ribosomal RNA", at positions 28 to 507 of the family's 1533-position model. The record is from RNAcentral.
GAUGAACGCUAGCUACAGGCUUAACACAUGCAAGUCGAGGGGAAACGACAUCGAAAGCUUGCUUUUGAUGGGCGUCGACCGGCGCACGGGUGAGUAACGCGUAUCCAACCUGCCCAUCACUUGGGAAUAACCUUGCGAAAGUAAGACUAAUACCCAAUGAUAUCCCACGAAGGCAUCGGAAUGGGAUUAAAGAUUUAUCGGUGAUGGAUGGGGAUGCGUCUGAUUAGCUUGUUGGCGGGGUAACGGCCCACCAAGGCAACGAUCAGUAGGGGUUCUGAGAGGAAGGUCCCCCACAUUGGAACUGAGACCCGGUCCAAACUCCUACGGGAGGCAGCAGUGAGGAAUAUUGGUCAAUGGGCGAGAGCCUGAACCAGCCAAGUAGCGUGCAGGAAGACGGCCCUAUGGGUUGUAAACUGCUUUUAUAAGGGAAUAAAGUGGGUCACGUGUGACUUUUUGCAUGUACCUUAUGAAUAAGGACCGGCUAAUUCCGUG